This 229-nucleotide ribosomal RNA is filed under the name uncultured bacterium. Its description in RNAcentral is "partial 16S ribosomal RNA". It matches the Rfam family "Bacterial small subunit ribosomal RNA", at positions 568 to 796 of the family's 1533-position model. The record is from RNAcentral.
UGCGCAGGCGGACUAAUAAGUCAGAGGUGAAAGCCCACAGCUUAACUGUGGAACUGCCUUUGAUACUGUUAGUCUUGAGUGCAGUUGAGGUAGGCGGAAUGUGUUAUGUAGCGGUGAAAUGCUUAGAUAUGACACAGAACACCAAUCGUGAAGACAGCUUACCAAGCUGCUACUGGCGCUCAGGCACGAAAGCGUGGGGAGCGAACAGGAUUAGAUACCCUGGUAGUCC